Molecule: ribosomal RNA, 573 nt
Filed under: Triticum aestivum (bread wheat)
Lineage: Eukaryota; Viridiplantae; Streptophyta; Magnoliopsida; Poales; Poaceae
Description: partial small subunit ribosomal RNA
Source: RNAcentral
AUGAAGGCGGAUGACUGGGAGGAGUUACAGUUGAAAGCAGCCGGGACUAUACGGUUGUGUCUGUCGGACCAGGUUAUUUAUCAUGUGAUGGAUGAGAAUUCGCCGAAGAAGAUCUGGGAGAAGCUGGAAAGUCAGUUUAUGUCCAAGACUGUGACGACCAAAGUGUAUCUGAAGCAAAAGCUGUAUGGGAUGAGGAUGCAGGAGGGGUCAGAUCUUGUGGAGUAUAUGAACGCCUUUAAUCAAGUCGUGACGGAUCUAGCACGCUUGGGUGCGAUGGUUGACGACGAGGAUAGGGAAAUUCUGCUUCUUUGUUCAUUGCCAUCAUCCUAUGACCAUUUGAUCACUACUUUGACGCACGGCAAGGAGACCAUCAAGAAUGAGGAUAUUACUGUGGCAUUGCUAUCUUAUGAUAUGAGAAAGAAGAACGCGGUGGAAGUCUCUCAUGGUGAAGGUUUGCUAGUCAAGGGUGAGCAGUGGCGGAAGGGAUAUGAGGCUGGAAAGAACAAGAAAAAGAAAAAAAUAUACAGUGUCACAAGUGUAAGCAGUGGGGACAUAUGCGAAAGGAUUGUCUAG